RNAcentral lists this ribosomal RNA (497 nucleotides) under uncultured bacterium. RNAcentral's name for it is "partial 16S ribosomal RNA". It matches the Rfam family "Bacterial small subunit ribosomal RNA", at positions 28 to 507 of the family's 1533-position model. The record is from RNAcentral.
GAUGAACGCUGGCGGCGUGCCUAAUACAUGCAAGUCGAGCGAACAGAUAAGGAGCUUGCUCCUUUGACGUUAGCGGCGGACGGGUGAGUAACACGUGGGUAACCUACCUAUAAGACUGGAAUAACUCCGGGAAACCGGGGCUAAUGCCGGAUAACAUUUAGAACCGCAUGGUUCUAAAGUGAAAGAUGGUUUUGCUAUCACUUAUAGAUGGACCCGCGCCGUAUUAGCUAGUUGGUAAGGUAACGGCUUACCAAGGCAACGAUACGUAGCCGACCUGAGAGGGUGAUCGGCCACACUGGAACUGAGACACGGUCCAGACUCCUACGGGAGGCAGCAGUAGGGAAUCUUCCGCAAUGGGCGAAAGCCUGACGGAGCAACGCCGCGUGAGUGAUGAAGGUCUUCGGAUCGUAAAACUCUGUUAUUAGGGAAGAACAAAUGUGUAAGUAACUGUGCAUGUCUUGACGGUACCUAAUCAGAAAGCCACGGCUAACUACGUG